GACGAACGCUGGCGGCGUGCUUAACACAUGCAAGUCGAACGGAAAGGCCCUGCUUGCAGGGUACUCGAGUGGCGAACGGGUGAGUAACACGUGGGUGAUCUGCCCUGCACUUCGGGAUAUGCCUUGGGAACUGGGUCUAAUACCGGAUAGGAGCCAUUUUUAGGGUGAUGGUUGGAAAGUUUUUUCGGUGUGGGAUGAGCUCGCUGCCUAUCAGCUUGUUUGUGGGGUAAUGGCCUACCAAGGCGGCGACGGGUAGCCGGCCUGGGAGGGUGGACGGCCACAUUGGGACUGAGAUACGGCCCAGACUCCUACGGGAGGCAGCAGUGGGGAAUAUUGCACAAUGGGCGCAAGCCUGAUGCAGCGAAGCCGCGUGGGGGAUGACGGCCUUCGGGUUGUAAACUCCUUUCGCUAGGGACGAAGCUUUUUGUGACGGUACCUAGAUAAGAAGCACCGGCUAACUACGUG
RNAcentral lists this ribosomal RNA (465 nucleotides) under uncultured bacterium. RNAcentral's name for it is "partial 16S ribosomal RNA". It matches the Rfam family "Bacterial small subunit ribosomal RNA", at positions 28 to 507 of the family's 1533-position model. The record is from RNAcentral.